GGUGKUGCCCCAGAUUUUUUKCSSGRRAMAYUMCCCCCCCAGCAUCUKGKGMGAUGGCCCAGAUCGUUUACCGUGAAAAAAUUAGAGUGUUCAAAGCAGGCAGAUCCAAUUUUCUGCCACCGAAUACAUUAGCAUGGGAUAAUGGAAUAGGACCCUGUCCUCCUAUUUUCAGUUGGUUUUGGCAGCGCGAGGACUAGGGUAAUGAUUAAUAGGGAUAGUUGGGGGCAUUAAUAUUUAAUUGUCAGAGGUGAAAUUCUUGGAUUUAUGAAAGAUUAACUUCUGCGAAAGCAUCUGCCAAGGAUGUUUUCAUUAAUCAAGAACGAAAGUUAGGGGAUCGAAGACGAUCAGAUACCGUCGUAGUCUUAACCAUAAACGAUGCCGACCAKYGAUUAGGAGACGUUYCCCCCAAACCCCUCCAUCGGCCCCUCAUUUUUUCCCUUGMUCUUCCCCCCCARCAGCUUGGAGAUAUUCCAGKUCGGGACCGGAGC
Molecule: ribosomal RNA, 488 nt
Filed under: Acanthamoeba sp.
Lineage: Eukaryota; Discosea; Longamoebia; Acanthamoebidae
Description: partial 18S ribosomal RNA
Rfam family: Eukaryotic small subunit ribosomal RNA
Source: RNAcentral